RNAcentral lists this ribosomal RNA (215 nucleotides) under uncultured bacterium. Its description in RNAcentral is "partial 16S ribosomal RNA". It matches the Rfam family "Bacterial small subunit ribosomal RNA", at positions 1286 to 1500 of the family's 1533-position model. The record is from RNAcentral.
UCUCAGUUCGGAUUGUAGUCUGCAACCCGACUACAUGAAGCUGGAAUCGCUAGUAAUCGCGAAUCAGAAUGUCGCGGUGAAUACGUUCCCGGGUCUUGUACACACCGCCCGUCACACCAUGGGAGUCGGAAAUGCCCGAAGCCUGUGACCCAACCGAGAGGAGGGAGCAGUCGAAGGUGGAGCCGGUGACUGGGGUGAAGUCGUAACAAGGUACC